Apis cerana (Asiatic honeybee) is the source of this 1587-nucleotide long non-coding RNA. RefSeq lists it as uncharacterized. Lineage: Eukaryota; Metazoa; Arthropoda; Insecta; Hymenoptera; Apidae. The record is from RefSeq and is a predicted model, not a curated record.
UAUAUAUAUUUUGUUUAAAAAAAUUAUAUGUCAUUGUACCAUUAAUGGACUAUUAAAAAAAUGAACAUUAAAACAGUUGAAGAAAAUAAUAAACAAAAAACAACUAUCAGUCAAAAUCUAUCUGUCUGUGGAAUAAAUGUAUAAUAAAAAAAUAUGGAUUUGAGAUACUUCUCUCUCAAGAUUCUUAAGAAUUGUAAGAGUUUCUGAAAUAUAUAAUUAAUUAAUGUACCAUAUAUUUUUUUGAUCUCGAUUCAUUUGAAAUUCAAUACAACCCGGAAGUGUUUUUUCGAAACAUUGUGUUGUUCGCGUCCCCAGUAGGGAGAAAAAAGAUGUCAAGAAAGAUAUAACGGAGUCGACAAGAAGGUAUCGAGACGAAUUCGCAACGCGUGUCAUCACGAUUCACAGCUCGUGUGUUUCAAUGGCUAACCGAGUACACAUCGUACACACCGAAUAACGAAUGAAUCAUAGGAACUCUCGGCACACUGUACACACGAAACCGCGGUUCACUUUCUCCUCUCAGAAUCGUCCUCAAUUACACGGAGCCGAGACCGAGGCCUCGUGUAAUUAUACGGGUGAGGUAGCACCGGGCAACCUAGUGAAUCGCGCAUACAUUUUUUCUUUCCUCUUCUUUUUUUUUUUUUUCAGACUGGGAGAGACCCCUUUCACUCGUCUCGCGUCACCGAGACCUAGUUUUCUUUUUCCCGAAAAGACUAAAACGAACAUUUUCUUAUUUGUUUGUGACAAGCGUUUCUCUGCUUUCUAUUUCCCCACUAUGAAUUGAAUAUCUUCCGUGCGUGUUCCUCUAUACGUACUACAAAUAUUGAAACUUGAGCAACAUUGCUUGAUAAAGAGGAUGAAGAGAAUAAAGGGAAUAUUAGCGAAAUGAAAGAAACGAAAUGAAAUAGAGAUGGAUUAAUCAUUUUCAUCAUAGGCUGAGAACUUUCAACUUGAUUUUCCUGUUGAGAAACAAAUAUAGAUAUUGCGGUACACAUGAGUUACAGAGAAUUACGGAAGAAGGAAAUUUACGUACACACAAUUCUUCAAUUUAUCUCAUCAAAGAGAUUGAAUACGAAAAACGAUAUUUGACAUAAAGAAAGAUGAAGCGAAGAAAGUGGAGGACGAUAAUGACGAGGUAGUAUUCUCUGGAAGAGGAAAUGACAGGCAUAGGUACUAUGGUGCCGAAUAGUAAAAGUCGGAGAACAAUGGAUAAAUGGAAUGGUACAGCCGAGACCUUUCAGGCAAUCGGGUAACUGGCAAAAAUCGUGAAACACAAUGGAUAGAAGAACGCCUUCCCUUCUGGUCCGCUUUGCAAUUCCCCCACGUUUCACCGAGCAUUCCCUAACGUAACCACUCGCACAACCUAACGCGCCUGCGCCCCGGCACACCCACUUGACCCCGAAGUUGAAAGAAAUUAAAUUAUAUAGGCUCUAAUGUGUUCUCCAAGCCACUAAAUGGUCCCCAUAAGCCUUUAACUUUUCCAAAUUCCAUCAAUAUUGCGAAAUUUUUACGAUCUUUCAAAUGGAUCAUUUUGUAUCAACAAUAUUUUAAUUCUAAAAUUAAAUAAAAUGUUUUAUCAUCGCAUAAUAA